ACCCGUGAAGAGGCGGGCAUAACAUAGCAAGAUGAGAAGACCCUAUGGAGCUUUAAUUCAUUAAUGCAAACAAUACUUAACAAACCCACAGGUCCUAAACUAUUAAACCUGCAUUAAAAAUUUCGGUUGUGGCGACCUCCGAGCAUAACCCAACCUCCGAGCAAUACAUGCUAAGACCUCACCAGUUAAAGCGAAUUACCACAUUCAAUUGAUCCAAUAACUUGACCAACGGAACAAGUUACCCUAGGGAUAACAGCGCAAUUCUAUUCCAGAGUCCAUAUCAACAAUAGGGUUUACGACCUCGAUGUUGGAUCAGGACAUCCUGAUGGUGCAGCCGCUAUUAAAGGUUCGUUUGUUCAACGAUUAAAGUCCUACAUGAUCUGAGUUCAGACCGGAGUAAUCCAGGUCGGUUUCUAUCUGUU
RNAcentral lists this non-coding RNA (422 nucleotides) under Pan troglodytes (chimpanzee). RNAcentral's name for it is "Bacterial large subunit ribosomal RNA". It matches the Rfam family "Bacterial large subunit ribosomal RNA", at positions 2049 to 2646 of the family's 2925-position model. Lineage: Eukaryota; Metazoa; Chordata; Mammalia; Primates; Hominidae. The record is from Rfam by way of RNAcentral.